GUCUCCGACAGAGGAGCAAUUUGGCGGCAGGGAUUUAAAUCUCAAAUUGACACAGGCAGAGUGAAAGCCUGGAUUUUUUUCGAUCAGGGAAACAAAUGAGGCUGUGCCAGGUCUUGAGUGAGCUGAGCGAACCCUUGAGUGUUAAUGAGCACACACCUGAUGACAUCGCGAUGACACCCCCAGUGGGCUUUAAUUGGGGACAUACAGAUUAACAAUCACAGUGGAAGCCAAAGAGUUAAUUAGUCUCCACAGUGAGAGUAAUGGGAUAAAUGCGCAUCGAGGAGAAAGAGAGCGAGAGACAGAAGACAAUGGACACGAGGGAGUGAGAGAGGGAUUGUGUUUUCGUGACAGCUCGGUGUGGAGGACUGAAAAAGAUCAUUUGGUAUGAGUGAGUGCCAUCCCCAAUUACUCCUUAUUGCUUUUAGAGGACAGAGAGUAGGAGGCCGUAAAUGAAAUUCACGUGGCAUGAUGGCCGUUUUUAUAAGACCGCCGAAGUGAAGGUC
Long non-coding RNA from Onychostoma macrolepis, 503 nucleotides. RefSeq lists it as uncharacterized. NCBI's taxonomy places the organism in Eukaryota, Metazoa, Chordata, Actinopteri, Cypriniformes, Cyprinidae. The record is from RefSeq and is a predicted model, not a curated record. The transcript has 3 exons.